This is a long non-coding RNA of Equus asinus (donkey), 4966 nucleotides long. Lineage: Eukaryota; Metazoa; Chordata; Mammalia; Perissodactyla; Equidae. The record is from Ensembl.
AAACAGGCGGGCUCGGGAAAUUUCUGAGGUCGGUAACAAUUACCGUCGCGAAGGGCAAACCAGGAGGGCGUGCCGAUCCCACAUGACACCUCCCUCACCUCCCCGCCCCCCGCCCCGCCGGAACGUUUUUGUCCCGGAACCUUAGCUCGCGGGACCCGGCGCGAGGGCACUUCCGGUGCCCCUCCUCUCUCGCCAGCGAAGAGAACUGCCAAGUCAGUUCCGGCAGAGAGCGCGGUGAGAAGCGGACCACGGCCUUGUCUCCCGGGGCCCUCCAGGCCCUCCGGCCUCGGGCCGGGGGGUGGGCUGGGGGGCCCGGGGCCAGACCGUAGCGGGCUCUGUCCUGCAGAGACUCAGAGCCUUCGCCGCGGCUGCCCGCGGGCCGGGCCCGACCUUGAAGCAGGAGCGACCCUCUCGCCCCACCCCCACCUCCGCGUCGUAAUGGCGGCGGCCUCUCGGGGGCUGGACUCUGCCGACCCCUGUCUCCCUGCGCAGCCUUGCUGGGCCGCGGCGAAGCCGCCGCCGAGGACGCGGCGCCGUUGGGCUUCGGGCGUGGCGGGGCGGAAGAAUGGCGGCCGCUCGAACGCAGAGGAGGGCCGUUAGGUGGCUCUGCUGGACGCGGGCUGGGCCACCCGUAGGCCUUGGAGCCGCGCGGAUCCGGGACAUGGCGGUGACCGCUCUGUCCCAGUGGGACGAGAUCUCCCCUCGUCCGGACGACGCCGGACAAAGGCCUUAGGGGCCCUGAAGAAAUGUCUUCUGGAAAUGACUUUGAAAUGGAAUUGUUAGACCACCGCUGGAAGCGACAGCAGGAGCGACGCGCGUCCACGGUUGUGCAGUGGAUUAGAGGACGUGGCGUGGAAGACCUUGAGGAACAAGAAACGAAGGCUCGGUGCCAGAGUGGUCAUAUUUGGAACACAUUUUCAUUUUAUAACCAUUGUUUUGUGUGUGCAUUUUAUUCCUCGCUACUGUGUAUGUAGUUGACAGUGCUAAGUACUUUUUUGCAAUAUCUAGUCUUUCUACAUGUUCUGAAGUGCCUGAUAUAUGUUAAAAGUAGAGGUAGUAAAAAGACAUUUUUGUAAAUAUCUUUUUAAGAUUCUUAUGAAAUACUGUUUCUCUGGGGGGAAUGGCCAGACCACCCCUUUGAACAGUGCACGUUGUGUUUGUGCGCUGGUUCUGGGGGAGAGGGAAGUACAAAGAGCUCUAUGCCAGUGUGUUAGUGAGGCAGAAUUAACCAUUGUCCCUGAUGUUCCUGCAUUUUGUUUUACUUUGCUGUGUAUAUAAUGUAUAUAACGGACCAAUGAGUCCUAAUUUACAACAUCUAGUCUUUCUAGAUGUUAAAGAGGUUGCCAGUGUAUGACAAAAAUAGAGUUAGUAAACUAAUACAUUUUAUACAUUUUGUGUUAAAAUUCCUAGGAAAGAUUGUCUCCUGAAAAUCUGAGCAUUCUAGCCCACUGGGUUGGUGGAGGAGGGAGAGAAGGGAAAGGUUGGUCUUAGGCUAGAAUGUUCACAUUCCAAAGACUUUCAGAUUCUGUUCCAUGUGUGCAGUUUACUCAAGACUGCUGUGUAUAUAGUGGACAAAUUCAGUCCUUAUUUGAAACAUCUAGUCCAUCUAGAUGUUUAGAAGUGCCCGACGUAUGUUAAAUGUAGAGGUAGUAAAAUAUCACUUUGUAAAUAUUUUUUUGCUAAAAUUCAUUGGAAAUGUUGCUUUUUGGAAAUGGAAUUGUUAAACCCUCUCUGUGAACAGUAUAUUAUUGCUUAUACUUGCUCAGUGGUUUGCAGGAGGUGGGAGGGAAAGAAUUGCAAUUGGUAAUAUGCUAGUGUGUGCAUACUUGGACAUUUUCAGACAAAACCAUUUUUUGUAUGUUAUGUGCAUUUUGUUUUGCUGUGUAUAUAAUGUAUAUAAUGGACAAAUGAGUCCUAAUUUUACAGCAUCUAGUCUCUAGAUGUUAAAAGAGGUUGCCAGUGUAUGACGAAGUAGUUAGUAAAACUAGCACAUUUUGUACACUUUGUGUUGAAAUUCACUUUGUGUUGCCUUCUGUAAAUGACUUUCAGAUAGGAAUUUGUGCAACCACCUCAAAGCAUUACUCAUACCUGUACUUGUCCACUGGAUUGGUUGUGGAGAGGAGGAGGUGAGGGAGGGAAUGGUUCAGGCCAAAAUGGCCACAUUUAGAAGAUACCUCAGAUUAUAACCAUUGUUACAUGUGUGCAAUUUUAUUUAAUAGUGCUGUGUACAUAGUGGACGAGUAAAUUCUUAUAUAAAGUAUCUAGUCUUUCUAGAUAUUUAGAAGUGCUUGAUUUUUUUAAAAGUAGAAGUAAGUAAAAUAACACUUAUUGUAAAUAGCUUUUCAGAACUGAUGGGAAAUGUUGUCUUUGGAAAUGGAAUUGUUAAAGCACCUCUCUGAACAGUAUACCCUGUACUUGUUCAUUGGGUUGAGGGAGGUGGGAGGGAAUAAAUUCCAAAAGAUGUUUUGCUAGUGUGUACUAGAAAAUGUCCACUUAUCCAUUGCCCUAUAUGUUAUGUGCAUUUCAUUUAACUUUUCUGUAUAUAUUGUGUAUAUACUGGACAAAUGGGUCCUAAUUUUAUAAUAUCUAGUCUCUAGAUAUUAAAGAGGUUGCCAAUGUAUGACAAAAGUAGAGUUAGUAAACUAACACAUUUUGUACACUUUGUGUUAAAUUCAUCAAAAGGCUGUCUUCUGGAAAGGACUUUUGGAAAUGAAAUUGUAAAAUGACAUCCAAGUGACACAUGUGCCUGUACUCACCCACUGAGUUGGUGGUAGAGAGCAGGAGUUGGGAGAAAUGAAGGAUUCUAGAUUAGAAUGUCCGAAGUAGAAGACACUUUCAGAAAUAAUUGUUGCUACAUGUGUGUAGUUUAUUCAACACUACUGUGUAUAUAGUGGACAAAUAUAAGUCCUUAUUUGAAACAUCUAGUCUUUCUAGAUGUUCAGAAGUGCACAAAGUAUGUUAAAAGUAGAGGUAGUAAAAUAACACAUUUUGUAGAUACCCUUUUGUUAAAUUCAUAUGAAAUACUGUCUUUUAGAAAUGGAAUGAUCAAAAUGAUCAAACCACCUCUCUGAGCAGUAACUGUUACAUUUGUGCUGGUUUGGGGAGGAAGGAGAAGAGAGUACAAAGGGCUUUAUACCAGUAUGUUUGUAGUUAGACAAGAUUAACCAUUGUCCCAUAUGUCUGUGCGUUUUGUUUUACUUAGCUGUGUAUAUAGUGUAUAUAAAGGACAAGCGUCCUAAUUUACAACAUCUAGUCUUUCUAGAUGUUAAAGAGGUUGCCAGUGUAUGACAAACGUAGAGUUAGAAAACAAACAUUGUGUACACUUUGUGUUAAAAUCAAUAGGAAAGACUGUUCUGAAAACGACUUGAGGGAAGUGAAAUAGUUAAAAUCCCCUCGAAGCAUUAUAAAUGCUUGUCCACUGGGUUGAUAGAGGGGGAAGGAUUCUAGGCUAGAAUGAUGCUGUUGGGAAGACACUUGCAGAUUAUAGCCUUUAUGUGCAGUUUAUGCAGUGCUACUGUGUGUGUGGUGGACAAACUUAAAUCCUUAUUUGAAACAUCUAGUCUUUCUAGAUGUUUAAAAGCGUACAACAUAUGUUAGAAGUAGAGUGUUAAAGUAAUACCCUUUAAGUAUUUUUUCAGUUAAUUCAUAGGAAUGGUUGCGUUUUUGGAAUGGGAUUGUUAACCUUGAUAGAGAGUAUGCCGACUGUUCACUGGGUGUGGGGGAGAGGGGCAGGGAAGGAAGUGCCAAGAGGAUUCUGUGCCCAUGAGUCUAGAUAAGUUUAGACUGUCUAACCAUUGUUCUGUAUGUGCAUUUUAGUUAAUAUUGCCGUGUAUUAAAAGAUAAACAAGUCCUAAUGCCCAAAGUGUAGGAAAAGUAGAGGUAGUAACACUUUUUAAAAUGCCCUUUUGUUAGUUUUUAGGAAGGACUGUCUUCUGGAGUGUCUUUAUUAAUCCGCCUCUUGGAGCUGGAUGCAGUCCUACACUUAGUCGUUGAAAUGGUGGAGGAGGGAGAAGCGGAAGGGUGAAGGGAAGGGCUCUUUGCUGGUAUCUCCAUAUCUAGAAGACAGUGUUAGGUAAUAACAUAGGUCUGUAAGUGCAUUUUUGUAAAGUACCUGUGUUUAUUGUAGACAGGGUUUGUUCUUUAUUUUGCAGCAUCUAAGCUUUUUAGAUGUCCUGAGGUGACAAUGUAUGAUAAAAAGUAGAGCUAGUGAAUUAACCAAUUUGUAAAUAUCUUUUUGUUCUAAUUGAUAGAAAAGAACCAUCUUGGACAUGGAAUUGUUAAACCAGCUCUGAGAAAUGUACUUGAGGACUUGUUAGGUUGGCAGCAGAGGAGCGAAAGGAAAUAUAGGGGGAGGGAUGUAUGAAGAUGUGUUCAUACUUACAUUUUGAUGAUAACCAUUGAUCUCUGUGCACCUCUUGGCUGUCCUAUAGGAAUUCAUUGUUAAGUAAUUCAGUGGGAACAUACCCCCUUGCUAAUAUUUUAAUAGUAUAGAUCGGAUAUCGAGUUCUCUUAGAAGUAUUAUAUUUUGUGUACUCUUGCUUUAUGUCUCAUUUUUAAUUGAACAUUAAGGGAAUGCAGUAUUUUAAUCAUAACGCCGCCAGUAUCUUUAUCUAGAGGCUUCUUGCCACUUUUGUCGCCAAGAAAGGCACGAUUACAUUUUUUUUCUUCCAGAUUGAGUUGGUGUAGUGUAUUCUUGGUUAUCAAAAUACUUAUAUAGCUUUGGGACUUUGAAAUGAUAAAUAUUCAUUAUGUGUGAAAAAGCAUGAUACAUAACUGUAUGAUCUUAAUUACAUAAAAAUGGAUGCUUAGUUGUGUAGGUGAACACACAGGACCUAGAAGGACAUGUCAAACUUAAACUGCUUGUGACUAUGGAUGACUUUGUUCUUUGCUUCUCGUGUUUUUCAGUUUCCUAUUAUGCACAUGUUAACUUUUAAAAAAUAAAUGUCAUUUAAAAAACCUUCCUAAA